AUUGAACGCUGGCGGCAGGCCUAACACAUGCAAGUCGAGCGGAUGAAGGGAGCUUGCUCCUGGAUUCAGCGGCGGACGGGUGAGUAAUGCCUAGGAAUCUGCCUGGUAGUGGGGGAUAACGUCCUGAAACGGGCGCUAAUACCGCAUACUUCCUGAUGGUGAAAGUGGGGGAUCUUCGGACCUCACGCUAUCAUAUGAGCCUAGGUCGGAUUAGCUAGUUGGUGGGGUUAAGGCCUACCAAGGCGACGAUCCGUAACUGGUCUGAGAGGAUGAUCAGUCACAGUGGAAGUGGACCAGGGACCAGACUACUGCGGGAGGCAGCAGUGGGGAAUAUUGGGCAGUGGGCGGAAGCCUGAUCCAGCCAUGCCGCGUGUGUGAAAGAGGUCUUCGGAUUGUAAAGAAGUUUAAGUUGGGAGGAAGGGCAGUAAGUUAAUACCUUGCUGGUUUGACGUUAACAACAGAAUAAGCACCGGCUAACUUCGUG
Molecule: ribosomal RNA, 484 nt
Filed under: uncultured bacterium
Lineage: Bacteria
Description: partial 16S ribosomal RNA
Rfam family: Bacterial small subunit ribosomal RNA
Source: RNAcentral